This 910-nucleotide long non-coding RNA is filed under the name Homo sapiens (human). RNAcentral describes it as "HSALNT0223442". The record is from RNAcentral. Lineage: Eukaryota; Metazoa; Chordata; Mammalia; Primates; Hominidae.
ACAGUUGGUAAGUAGGAGAGCCAGGCACUCUGAAUCUGGAGCCAGAACACUUCACCUGUAACUUAACCUCUCAGGCAGAAAUCCUUCAUGAAUUUUUGUUGGCUAGAAUUGAAUCAGUAAGAUUGGAGAUUGAGCAAUACUGUAGUGUAUCAUGGGGAGUGACCCUAGGAGUGCUCAAUCAAACCAAAUAGCACAUCUCUUAUCACCCACGUGGAUCUGUACAUGAGAUCCCUAGAAGUUGUUAAUCGUAUAAAGUUUGUAUCCUCUGAACAAUAUCUUCCCAUUUCCCUCACCUCCCAGUCCCUGGGAACCACCAUUCUACUCUCUGCUUCUGGGAGUUUGACUCUUUCAGAUUCCACAUGUGAGUGAGAUCAUGCAGUAUUUAUGUUUCUGUGUCUGGCUUAUUUCACUUAAUGUCCUCCAGAUUCACCCAUGCCUUCACAAACAACUGCGGUCCCACCAUAGACUCAUAGCAGGGAUGGGGGGAUGCCCAGCUCCCAGGCUUCCUCCACAGUCCUCACCACUGCUCCCUGCUCCCCAAGACUGGAUGGUACCUGAGCUGAGCAGUUCCCCUGGCACCUUGCCUCCUUCCCUCCCACUCACUCAGACAUGGUUCUGCAGAACGUUCUCCCUGCAGACAUGGCUCUUCCUGUCACCUUUGGAUGGUACAUUUGAAGCAGGUCUCAACAUGGAACUUGAGGGCACACCUAGGGUCACUCCCCAUGAUACACUACAGUAUUGCUCAAUCUCCAAUCUUACUGAUUCAAUUCUAGCCAACAAAAAUUCAUGAAGGAUUUCUGCCUGAGAGGUUAAGUUACGGGUGAAGUGUUCUGGCCCCAGAUUCAGAGUGGCUGGCUCUCCUACUUACCAGCUGUGCAACACUGGCUACAUUUGAUGAGAGCGGGACCAG